UAUGGGGUGCUACGGCUGAGAUCAUACCCAUUGAACCUGUUCAGAUAAUGCUGACGAAGGGAUAUAUAU
Molecule: non-coding RNA, 69 nt
Filed under: Alloscardovia omnicolens
Lineage: Bacteria; Bacillati; Actinomycetota; Actinomycetes; Bifidobacteriales; Bifidobacteriaceae
Source: RNAcentral